RNAcentral lists this ribosomal RNA (365 nucleotides) under uncultured bacterium. RNAcentral's name for it is "partial 16S ribosomal RNA". It matches the Rfam family "Bacterial small subunit ribosomal RNA", at positions 338 to 700 of the family's 1533-position model. The record is from RNAcentral.
CCUACGGGAGGCAGCAGUGAGGAAUAUUGGUCAAUGGACGAGAGUCUGAACCAGCCAAGUAGCGUGAAGGAUGACUGCCCUAUGGGUUGUAAACUUCUGUUAUAAAGGAAUAAAACGAGGCACGUGUGCCUUUUUGCAUGUACUUUAUGAAUAAGGAUCGGCUAACUCCGUGCCAGCAGCCGCGGUAAUACGGAGGAUCCGAGCGUUCUCCGGAUUUAUGGGGGUUAAAGGGAGCGUAGAGGGGUUGUUAAGUCAGUUGUGAAAGUUUGCGGCUCAACCGUAAAAUUGCAAUUGAUACUGGCAGUCUUGCGUACAGUUGAGGUCAGCGGAAUUCGUUGUGUAGCGGUGCACUGCUUAGAUCUCAC